UACAGAGGGUGCGAGCGUUAUUCGGAAUUACUGGGCGUAAAGCGUGCGUAGGCGGUUAUUUAAGUCGGGUGUGAAAGCCCCGGGCUCAACCUGGGAAUUGCAUUCGAGACUGAAUAGCUAGGGUGCGGUAGAGGGAAGCGGAAUUUCCGGUGUAGCGGUGAAAUGUGUAGAUAUCGGAAGGAACACCAGUGGCGAAAGCGGCUUCCUGGACCAGCACCGACGUUCAGGCACGAAAGCGUGGGGAGCAAACAGG
This 253-nucleotide ribosomal RNA is filed under the name uncultured bacterium. RNAcentral describes it as "partial 16S ribosomal RNA". It matches the Rfam family "Bacterial small subunit ribosomal RNA", at positions 524 to 776 of the family's 1533-position model. The record is from RNAcentral.